Acanthosepion pharaonis is the source of this 87-nucleotide non-coding RNA. The record is from the annotation of a GenBank genome assembly. Lineage: Eukaryota; Metazoa; Mollusca; Cephalopoda; Sepiida; Sepiidae.
GUUGAAACACCGAUUACCGUAUGAUCACCGAAGUUAAGCAACGUCGAGCAUGGUCAGUGCCUAGAUGCGUGACCGCUUGGGAAUGCU